This 370-nucleotide long non-coding RNA is filed under the name Mus caroli (Ryukyu mouse). RNAcentral's name for it is "lncRNA (MGP_CAROLIEiJ_G0005021.1)". The record is from RNAcentral. Lineage: Eukaryota; Metazoa; Chordata; Mammalia; Rodentia; Muridae.
GAUACAGCACCUGGCCCAGGAAAGAUACAGCAGGGCCACAUGGGGCUUGGAUAGAAGCUUUUCUGAGGCCAGGAGGUAGAGCUAGAGCUGGAUUCCGAAUCACAGGACUGUGAUGCAAGGAACCACAGGGAGAGCAAAAGAAGACAGGGCAGUAUCCUGUGUUUGUGGCCACAAGCAGAAGCCAGGUGAAGAUGUGGGGAAGACCCAAGAGGAGAACCCAGGGCUACCUAGUUACCAGGGACAAGGGACAAAUGGGCCACUCCAGCACUUUGUGGAGAGGGGAAGCUGCCCACUGCCGACCACAUACUGCAGGCAGCUUUUCUCUUAUAGCUCUCGUGUUGCGUUUCUUAAUUUAAAAUGGGAAAUUCCG